Brienomyrus brachyistius is the source of this 4355-nucleotide RNA transcript. It is a transcript of the gene named pecanex 4, with no coding region annotated. The transcript has 11 exons. The record is from RefSeq and is a predicted model, not a curated record. NCBI's taxonomy places the organism in Eukaryota, Metazoa, Chordata, Actinopteri, Osteoglossiformes, Mormyridae.
AUGGGGCCCGAUGUCCCUCUGCUCAAUGACUACAAGCAGGAGUUCUUCUGGAAGCGCUUUCCCCAGACAGUGCUGGGAGGUCCCCGCUUCAAGCUGGGCUACUGUGCCCCGCCAUAUGUCUACAUCCACCAGAUCAUGCUGUUCCUGACGCCCUGGCUCAUAGGCGGUGUGGGCACGCUGCUGCAUCAGUUACAGGUUCUGGAAGAACUCAGUGCCGCCUCCCUUUCCGGAGGGCUUAUGCUGGGGGCUGCCGUGGUUGUCCAGGCGCUGGCGGUGCGAGCAGCGCAGCGGACAGGGCGAGUGGAGCGCAUACACGCAGCCAGCAUCCUGGCGGAAGAGGAGGAGGUGGAGUUUGCAAGUUGUGCUGGCCCCGAGACCGUCCGCUUCCUCAUCCCGGGAAAAAGACUCAUCCCAAACACAGUGCUACAUGCGGUGCUGGCUGGGGUCGUGUGCGGCCUGGGGACAUGGUACCUCCUCCUCAGCAGACUCAGCAGCCUGUAUGGGAGCCAGUGGGCUGCAGGACUGAUCUUCAUUCUAAGCUGGGUGACCCUAUGCAUAGGGGAAUACUCCCUUAUCAUCAACACGGCCCCCGAGACGGCUACCUUUCAGCCACAGGACACCUAUGAGAUCACACCCCUCACCCGCCCGCUCUACAUUUUAAUUUUCAUCGCUGUGGACAUCGCUCAGAGCAGAGUGACGGGCCCCAUUCCAGCGCUGGUGUUAAGCAGUCAGGUGCUCCACGUGCUUUUCCUCCUCUUGCCGCUGCUGUGGGCGCUGGGCAUGCUGUCACCUCUAGAUGCCCUUCUGCUCUGGGGAAUGGAACAGACCUUGGUUUUUGGCUUGGGUGGAUCACCAAUGUCAACUAACUUCAGGCUGCUGGUGAUGUUCAUGGUCUCUGUGUGUGUACCAGUUUGCACCUUCUUCAUCCCUUCCACACUGGGCGUGGUGCUCUUCACCGUAGUCUUGGGCUUCCUACUCAGCCUGGAUUUCAGCCAGGUCGGGGCGCUUCUGUGGGCUUGCAGGAUGGAUGGCCAGUCUGCAGAUCUGUCUGCCAGGUUGCCUUCUUCACUGGGAUGGGGUCUGGGCUGGAGAGAGGUGCUGCUCCACCUGGUCCUGCUGCUCGGGGCUCUGACUGAGGCUGGGCUUCUCCACUACUUCCUGCCCUCCCCCCAGGACUGGUCCGUGGGACCCCAGGCUGUUGCUGGCUACCUCUCACUAAUUCUCUUUGUGAUCAACUGGACUCUCCAAGAGGUCCAGGGUGUGUACCUCCUAGGAGGGGUCUUCCACAACCCUCUUUACCCCAAGGAAACGAUGAACGUGAAGGUGUUCAAGGCGCAGAGUAAAUGCCUUCGGAUGGCUGGGAUGAUUAGGAGAGUGCUGGUCAAUCUCGUGGCACCAUUUGCCAUGAUUGCCUUCCUGGCUAUGGAUGGCUCCCUGCAGGCUCUGCACACGGCAUCCCUCAGUGUGGGUUUCACCCGGGCUUUCAGAGCAGUUUGGCAGAGCACAGAGCACCUGCUGUUCCAGGUGACAGUGGUAGCUGUGGUGCGCCUUUUGGCAAUGGGCUCUGAGCUACCCUGGUGGAAUGACCUUGGGACGGGUGUCCAGCUCAUUCUGGUGAGCUUGGCUAGCGACCGUCUGCUGCAGCUGGCCUCCAAGAUGCGAUUCGCCCUGACGGUGCUGGUGACCUCUUGGACAGAGAAGAAGCAGAGGCGGCAGUGGGUGGGCGCCCUCCUGGCCUUGAACGCCGCAUUCAGUCCCCUGCUGCUGUGCACGCUUAUCCUGUCAGCGCUACUCUCCGCCCCACUGCUCCCGCUCUUCACGCUGCCCGUCUUCCUGGUGGGAUUCCCCCGGCCCCAGCGAUGCUGGCCGGGCUCCGUGGGCACCGCAUGCUCCUGCCCAGACUCCGUCUACUACCAGCAGAUGAGCGGGAGCCUUGCAGCUGCCUUGCGGACCGCUUUUGCCGGGGGAGUGCUAGGCCUUUCCAGUCCUGGGUCACACUUCCUCGGUCGUUUCCAGGAUCGGAUUGUGUGGAUUAAUGUCCUAGAGCGAGGCUUUGGCUACUGCUCGGUUAACAUCAAGGGCUUAGAACUGCAGGAGACCUCGUGCCACACAGCUGAGGCAAGGCGGGUGGAUGAAGUGUUUGAAAGUGCUUUUGAAGCUCCAGAUGGGCUGGGACUCCCCACAGGCCUGAACCUGCACUGGGGCAAUGCAAUGACCCCCUGCGCCGCGCUGCCCAUCUGCACCUAUUCCGACGCCCGAAGUGUGUUGACAGGAAUCAUCGACUCGCACACCAACCUGCACCAACUGAGAGACGACUUCCUGAAGGUCCUCGUAUGGGUGCUCCUUCAGUACUGCGUCCGGGGUGGCAAGGCCUUCGCGGCCGGUCCUGGCUACAAGCCAGAGAGCCGCUUGCAGGACUCUGGGCCCCAGAGCCCACCAGAUGCCCCCUCUCCGGAGUGCCGACAGGACAGCCCCAGCCUGAACUCACUGAGCGACUGGUCCGACGAGGACGACCUGUUCGGUCCGCAGCCUGCCAGGAAGACGACGGCACUGGUGAGUGUAGAGGCUCCCCUGCCAGCUGGUCCAUCGCUUCCUGGGUCCGUGGAGUUAAACAGCCUCUACGGGGAUGUGCCGCUCUCCGCCAUUCAGCCCCUACAGCCACUGGGCCUAGGGCUUCCGGCCAUGGAUCGGGGUCAGGAGAGUGAAGUACCCGGCCUCGUGGGGUUCACCCCUCCCGGGGUGAAAUUUGGCUCACCCCAUGCAGAUCAGUUGGAGCCGCCCCUGGCCUGGAGGACCGCGCCCCUGGCCGCCUCCCGUCCACAGCAGCUGAGGCUGGCUUUCCCUGAGGAGUGGUUCCACUUCGUGUUAGGAAGGCUAGGGCCGGCCAUUCAGAGAGAGACUCCCAAGGCGGUGGCCGAGGCUAUGCGGGAACUGCAUGCGCAGGUGGCCCUGAACUGUUUGGUUGCACUGGGUGCCGAGACCACCACGCCCAGCCCCAGCUACGUGUACAGGGUCUACUGCGGGGAUGUUCCCUGGACUGAAGGCCUUGACUGGCUCACCAGCAACACAGAAUUGUACCAUCUCACGAUUAAAGCGUUCAGGUACAGCUUCAAGCUGCUGUUGGACCAGGCCAGCCUGGGAGCCAUAGGAGGCCCUGAGGAGCUCCUGAGUACCCUGGAGGAAUAUGAACAAGACUGGUACAUCGGCCUGGCAUCGGAGCACGGCUGGCGAGAUGCCGUCCUGCAGGAGAAGCCUUUCCUUUUCUCCCUGGGUUACGACAUCACUAUGGGCACCUACACCGGCCGUGUCCUCACACUGCAGGAGGUUCUGGUGCAGCUGGGCCACCUCAAUGGGGAGGGAGUGCGGGGCCAAUGGGCCAACCUGUCCUGGGAGCUGCUAUACGCCACCAACGAUGACGAGGAGCGCUACAGCAUCCAGGCACACCCCAUGCUCCUGCGCAACCUCACCGUUCAGGCCGCAGACCCACCACUGGGCUACCCCAUCUACUCUUCUGCUCCACUGCACCUGCCCAUCUUCUGAUAGCACAGCACCGGUGAAUCCACUCUGACAACGUGCACCAGCAGUGUUGGGAUGGGGCCGCGCCGGUUUUGAGGCCGUCCAGUCUUCACCCAUUCAGGCAGCACGCAUUAAAGAUUUUUAACUUGAGGAACAUCUUACCCAGGCUUCUUCUGUAAUACCACAAGAGCUCCAGAACAAUCAGGUUGAAUUUUCAUGUCAGAUGGAGUUCAAAGCAAUUUCGUAACCAUGCCCCGCAAGAAUGUAAGUCCCAUGAAACGCACUUCUCACGUCAACACUGACACAUUCAGUUUCACGUCCUCGCCGAACAGAAGGUGCACUUAGAGGCACAAAGCUGUAAAAGAAUGAUCAUGUACUCACACUGAUGAUGGUGUCCAGUCAGAUCUACAUAUGGGCUGUGGUACAGCAACAGUUCCAUAAUAGUUUAGUGUCUUACUACAGAAUUCGUUCCUAUUAACAGAAGAUUCUUAGUGCCAUUUCGAAGCUGUAAGCGACCAUCUUCAUAUAUCAACAAUCAGCCCAGUGCUUCCAGUUUACUGUACGCCAUCUCACAAUCAGCUCCUGUCUCAUUUAAUGGUUCUCAAUCCAGAAAAGGGAUUUUUUUUUUUUUUUAUAGAGGAACAAAGUAUGUGCCUUGGUCUGUUUUUUUGUACUGUUAAUUGCAGGGUUUAGUUAUUUUCAGAGCUGUGUUUUACAGGUGUUUACAGUCAAGGUUUCCUGUAAGAAGUGUCCUAAAUGCCCCUAUUGUUUUAAGCUGUGAUUCCUCUAUACUGUGUAUUGUAUAUAAUUGUAAGACAUACAUGGCUUUUUCACAGAAA